RNAcentral lists this ribosomal RNA (496 nucleotides) under uncultured bacterium. RNAcentral describes it as "bacterial SSU rRNA". It matches the Rfam family "Bacterial small subunit ribosomal RNA", at positions 32 to 518 of the family's 1533-position model. The record is from RNAcentral.
AACGCUAGCUACAGGCUUAACACAUGCAAGUCGAGGGGCAGCAUGGGAUUAGCUUGCUAAUCCUGAUGGCGACCGGCGCACGGGUGAGUAACGCGUAUCCAACCUUCCCCUUACUCAGGGAUAGCCCGGUGAAAACCGGAUUAACACCUGAUGGUUUCAUUAGAUGGCAUCUGACGAUGAAUAAAGGCUUACGGUAAGGGAUGGGGAUGCGUCUGAUUAGCUUGUUGGCGGGUAACGGCCCACCAAGGCAACGAUCAGUAGGGGUUCUGAGAGGAAGGUCCCCCACAUUGGAACUGAGACACGGUCCAAACUCCUACGGGAGGCAGCAGUGAGGAAUAUUGGUCAAUGGGCGAGAGCCUGAACCAGCCAAGUAGCGUGCAAGGAUGACGGCCCUAUGGGUUGUAAACUGCUUUUGUACGGGAAUAAAGUCAUCCACGUGUGGAUGUUUGCAUGUACCGUAAGAAUAAGGACCGGCUAAUUCCGUGCCAGCCGCAGC